CCCCUCGAGGAAGAAGAAUUGGUCGCCUACAUGUUACGCGACCUCGGCAGUGAGUACGACACUCUGGUGGCCAGCAUCACCACACGUGCGGACUCAUAUACUGUCAGUGAUGUCUACGCCCACAUGUUGAGCUUCGAGA
Molecule: small nucleolar RNA, 139 nt
Organism: Phragmites australis (common reed)
Lineage: Eukaryota; Viridiplantae; Streptophyta; Magnoliopsida; Poales; Poaceae
Product: small nucleolar RNA Z247
Exons: 1
Source: RefSeq, a predicted model, not a curated record